Molecule: ribosomal RNA, 498 nt
Filed under: uncultured bacterium
Lineage: Bacteria
Description: partial 16S ribosomal RNA
Rfam family: Bacterial small subunit ribosomal RNA
Source: RNAcentral
AUUGAACGCUGGCGGAGUGCUUUACACAUGCAAGUCGAGCGGCAGCGCGGGGCAACCUGGCGGCGAGCGGCGAACGGGUGAGUAAUACAUCGGAACGUACCCAGUUGUGGGGGAUAGCCCGGCGAAAGCCGGAUUAAUACCGCAUACGACCUGAGGGCGAAAGGGGGGGAUCGCAAGACCUCUCGCAGUUGGAGCGGCCGAUGGCGGAUUAGCUAGUUGGUGAGGUAAAGGCUCACCAAGGCGACGAUCCGUAGCGGGUCUGAGAGGACGACCCGACACACUGGAACUGAGACACGGUCCAGACUCCUACGGGAGGCAGCAGUGGGGAAUUUUGGACAAUGGGGGCAACCCUGAUCCAGCCAUUCCGCGUGAGUGAAGAAGGCCUUCGGGUUGUAAAGCUCUUUCGGCAGGAACGAAACGGUGGAAGCUAAUAUCUUUUACUAAUGACGGUACCUGAAGAAGAAGCACCGGCUAACUACGUGCCAGCAGCCGCCGCAG